GCCCUAGUAACGGCGAGUGAAGCGGCAACAGCUCAAAUUUGAAAUCUGGCGCAAGCCCGAGUUGUAAUUUGUAGAGGAUGCUUCUAGGUAGCGACCGGUCUAAGUUCCUUGGAACAGGACGUCAUAGAGGGUGAGAAUCCCGUAUGUGACCGGCCCGCACCUUCCACGUAGCUCCUUCGACGAGUCGAGUUGUUUGGGAAUGCAGCUCUAAAUGGGAGGUAAAUUUCUUCUAAAGCUAAAUACCGGCCAGAGACCGAUAGCGCACAAGUAGAGUGAUCGAAAGAUGAAAAGCACUUUGGAAAGAGAGUUAAAAAGCACGUGAAAUUGUUGAAAGGGAAGCGCUCACAACCAGACUUCUGGGCGGUGUUCCGCCGGUCUUCUGACCGGUCUACUCACCGUCCCGAGGCCAACAUCAUCUGGGACCGCCGGAUAAGACCUCAGGAAUGUAGCUCCCCUCGGGGAGUGUUAUAGCCUGUGGUGAUGCGGCGCGUCUCGGGUGAGGUCCGCGCUUCGGCAAGGAUGUUGGCGUAAUGGUUGUCAGCGGCCCGUCUUGAAACACGGACCAAGGAGUCUAACAUCUAUGCGAGUGUUCGGGUGUCAAACCCCUACGCGUAAUGAAAGUGAACGGAGGUGGGAAGGGUAACCUGCACCAUCGACCGAUCCUGAUGUCCUCGGAUGGAUUUGAGUAAGAGCAUAGCUGUUGGGACCCGAAAGAUGGUGAACUAUGCCUGAAUAGGGUGAAGCCAGAGGAAACUCUGGUGGAGGCUCGCAGCGGUUCUGACGUGCAAAUCGAUCGUCAAAUUUGGGUAUAGGGGCGAAAGACUAAUCGAACCAU
RNAcentral lists this ribosomal RNA (835 nucleotides) under Ramularia sp. B JZG-2016. RNAcentral describes it as "eukaryotic LSU rRNA". It matches the Rfam family "Eukaryotic large subunit ribosomal RNA", at positions 77 to 943 of the family's 3401-position model. Lineage: Eukaryota; Fungi; Ascomycota; Dothideomycetes; Mycosphaerellales; Mycosphaerellaceae. The record is from RNAcentral.